This 459-nucleotide ribosomal RNA is filed under the name uncultured bacterium. RNAcentral describes it as "partial 16S ribosomal RNA". It matches the Rfam family "Bacterial small subunit ribosomal RNA", at positions 338 to 795 of the family's 1533-position model. The record is from RNAcentral.
CCUACGGGAGGCAGCAGUGAGGAAUAUUGGUCAAUGGGCGGAAGCCUGAACCAGCCAAGUAGCGUGCGGGAUGAAGGCCCUACGGGUCGUAAACCGCUUUUGCACGGGGAUAACACCCUCCACUUGUGGAGGUCUGCAGGUACCGUGCGAAUAAGGGCCGGCUAAUUCCGUUCCAGCCGCCGCGGUAAUACGGAAGGCCCGAGCUUUAUCGGGAUUCAUUUGGCUUAACGGGAGCAUAGGCGGGCGUUCAAGUCAGCUGGAAAAUCGCGGGGCGCAACCGCGCCCCGCAGCUGAAACUGGGAGCCUUGAGUUCACAACAGGCAGGCAGAAUUCGUGGUGUAGCGGUGAAAUGCAUAGAGAUCACGAGGAACCCCGAUUGCGAAGGCGGCCUGCCGGGGUGCGACUGACGCUGAGGCUCGAAGGUGCGGGUAUCAAACAGGAUUAGAUACCCCUGUAGUC